UCGGGAAUAUUCUGAUUCGUUGUUUGUUGGGAACCAGAAAAAGAAGAUCCUCCUUUAUAGACCUGUCAUGAAGUUACAAAUAAGACAUUUUAUAAAAAAAAUGGACAUGACUUAUUUGUAUUUUUACUUAAACUCAUACUCGUUCACCUACAAAAUCAGAAUUCAAAACUUCUUCAAGGAUACAAUCUAUCCAAAACUCAAAGAAGUGGCUUUCUAGCUAGUUCUUAUAUGCAUCAUUUUACUAACUAUUUCAAAAUAUAUCGUAUUAGCUCUACUAACCACAUAACCAUAAACUCAACCAAGUUAUUUCCUAAACUACUACUCACUCAUUUUGCUUUAACUCCAAACACAUUAUGAUACACUCUACCUGAUUUAUCUUUCCCAUCCCUUGCACUAUAUGCUCUCCCUACGACAUCAUUCUUUCUAGUAUU
Molecule: long non-coding RNA, 431 nt
Filed under: Linum usitatissimum (flax)
Lineage: Eukaryota; Viridiplantae; Streptophyta; Magnoliopsida; Malpighiales; Linaceae
Description: long non-coding RNA (LUSI_LNC001546)
Source: RNAcentral